Molecule: transfer RNA, 72 nt
Filed under: Dermacentor silvarum
Lineage: Eukaryota; Metazoa; Arthropoda; Arachnida; Ixodida; Ixodidae
Description: transfer RNA lysine (anticodon UUU)
Rfam family: tRNA
About the family: Transfer RNA (tRNA) molecules are approximately 80 nucleotides in length. Their secondary structure includes four short double-helical elements and three loops (D, anti-codon, and T loops).
Source: RNAcentral
UCCGGCGUGGUCUAGUGGCUAGGAUACCUGGCUUUUACCCAGGAGGCCCGGGUUCGAAUCCCGGCGUUGGAA